This 522-nucleotide ribosomal RNA is filed under the name uncultured bacterium. Its description in RNAcentral is "bacterial SSU rRNA". It matches the Rfam family "Bacterial small subunit ribosomal RNA", at positions 8 to 518 of the family's 1533-position model. The record is from RNAcentral.
AGGGUUCGAUCUGGCUCAGGACGAACGCUGGCGGCGUGCCUAACACAUGCAAGUCGAGCGGGGACAUACGACGGAGUCAAAGUUUCGGAUGGAGACGAAGAUGUAUGUUCUAGCGGCGGACGGGUGAGUAACGCGUGAGCAACCUGUCCCUUACAGGGGGAUAACACAGCGAAAGUUGUACUAAUACCGCAUGAGACCACGGGGAGACAUCUUCCAGGGGUCAAAGGAGCAAUCCGGUAAGGGGUGGGCUCGCGUCCGAUUAGAUAGUUGGUGAGGUAACGGCCCACCAAGUCGACGAUCGGUAGCCGACCUGAGAGGGUGAUCGGCCACAUUGGGACUGAGACACGGCCCAAACUCCUACGGGAGGCAGCAGUGGGGAAUAUUGGGCAAUGGGGGGAAACCCUGACCCAGCAACGCCGCGUGAGGGAAGAAGGUUUUCGGAUCGUAAACCUCUGUCCUUGGUGAAGAGGAAGAGACGGUAGCCAAGGAGGAAGCCCCGGCUAACUACGUGCCAGCAGCCGC